Molecule: long non-coding RNA, 554 nt
Filed under: Sinocyclocheilus grahami
Lineage: Eukaryota; Metazoa; Chordata; Actinopteri; Cypriniformes; Cyprinidae
Description: lncRNA (ENSSGRG00000049025.1)
Source: RNAcentral
CGUUAAAGCAGCAAAGCACAUCUCACACGAAGAAGAAUGCCAAAAGGAAGCUUUCGUUUUUGCUUUCCACGUCCUUCUUUUCUCGAGGAUUUAUAGUUGUUUGAGAUAAACCACAACUAGUUCAGUUGACUGGUCAAAACCAAUGUACGAUAAACGUUGAAUUCGCAAGACAUUGCACUACAGCUACGCACUAAACAGAAAGGAGACGGAAAGUUGCUACCCGCGUUUGAGCCUCUUCAGAAGUGACAUCUAUCGACGAGAAAUACUGGGGGAUUUCUAGGGUUUGCCCUAAAGGAAGAGUAAUCACAAUUAAAACAUCAGGUUUGCGAUGGCAAUAUCUGAAUUGUGGCCCAGCACUUCAAACAAGGCAGGCCAUAUAUAACGAGGUUUACAUCAUUGUAUUAUGCUCAAAUGUCACAUUUUCCUACGGAGUUGGGGGAAUUGAUGAUUGAUUUUAUAAUCAAAGACUUUUAAGGAUAGAUUUUUAAUUCUUUUUGGAAUUUUCUAUUUUAUUGAGCUUGGUAGAGUUGCCAUUUUAGAAAUAUUGUUACCAG